Long non-coding RNA from Malaclemys terrapin pileata, 1715 nucleotides. RefSeq lists it as uncharacterized. The record is from RefSeq and is a predicted model, not a curated record. NCBI's taxonomy places the organism in Eukaryota, Metazoa, Chordata, Testudines, Emydidae. The transcript has 3 exons.
UAUGGAGUGAGAUACAGAACAGUGUCUAUUAGUAAAUUAAUACAUUAUUUAAUAAUUGUUCAGAUCUGGAACUGGGAUGUGAGUGGCCAAUUCCAUCACAGAAAUGCCAACUCUUGGUUUGAUCAAGUUUUUGGAAAGGUACAAAAUGGUUUCCAGUGUUGUAUGUCAUCUUAACAGCUUUGUACCUGUAAUGACAGCACCUUUGCUUUACUGUGUAAAGGAAGAGAGUGCACUAGGACACAGGGUCUCCCCCUCCUAGGCAGGUCUCUUCUCAGGUAAACAAUUACAGCAAGCAUUUAUACCUUUUGUUACAGACAAUGAAAAGCAACGGCAGCAUUUUGUUUAUACAUAAGUCAUUCUGAUAUCUUGUUUUUCUCACUAAUAUAGACUCUUAGUCUACAUUCCAUAUUGUUUACACAUUAUCUACACAAGGUCGAAACACUUCUCACACUGUUCUUUCCCACUCGCCUCACAGAAUCCUCGCUUCUACAAAUCUCACGUUAUUAGGGUUACAGUUAGCCUGACUCUUGCUAACAAACUGUCAUGCACUGCAAUCCCCUUCCUGUCAGUUCUUUCUCUGCUUCCACACACACAUACUUAAAGCAUACACAUACUAACCCUAUAUACUGCCCUAUACACUAAACCAUCAUUAAAAGAAUAUUAAGCUUAUGCUAUACAUCUGUUGCUGUUUUCUUUUAAAAGUCAAAUCACUGCCGUGGCUGCAGUUCAAUUCCUGCUCAGUCAGCUCUGCCCUGCUCCAGCUUUCUUUUCUAUCUCUGCCGCAGGUCUUCUUUGGCUUCUCUCGCUGGCUUCCCGGCUCUUCCUGCACGCCGCUCUCCUUUUCAGACCUAGCCUCCGGACUUCGAAACUAUUGCUGGCAAGUGGCCUUUAUGGUUAUGCUACAUUGUACCUCUUUCUUUAUGUAUCUUCCUAUUCUUAGGCCUGGUCUACACAAUGAGGUUAGGUCAACUUUAGCCUCAUUAGGUCGAUUUUAUAAUGAAUGCGUCCACACAACCAACCCCCUUCCACUGACCUAAAGGUCUCUGAAAAUUGACUGCUGUACUCCUCCCUGAGGGGAGUGGUGCUAAAAUCGACCUUCCCCUGGGUCGAAUUUGGGGUAGUGCAGAUGCAGCACUGUGCAAUUAGAUGUUCUUGGCCUCCGGGAGCUAUCCCAGAGUGCUCCAAUGUGACCGCUCUGGACAGCACUUUCCACUCCGAUGCACUAGCCAGAUACACAGGAAAAGCCCUGGGAAUUUUUGAUUUUUCCUUAUUCAGGAUGGAGAUCAAAGCUACAAAGCAGAGACUGGAGAAUUAUCUCUAGUGACACCAUGUUUCCUCCACCCCCCCUCCCCAAUCCGCCCCCAUGGGCAGGACAACAGGGAGCGGCCCCCCUGGGCUGGGGAGGGACCAUUCUACCCUGAGACGGGGGGGAUGGCAAAUUAUCCCGACUCAGGAAUUUUAAUCCCCAGAUUAAAAGGAGCCAAUAAUGUAACCAGAGACAUUUUUCUUUAAAAAUUCCUGACAGCAAAAUAAUAACAAAAAUAAAACGGGCUCCCCCGUUACUUUAUCGCCCCUGCUCCUGCCACCAGCGAGAUGGCCCUAAACUCCCAACUCAUAGGACGAACCAUUUCCCUUUUGGGCAGAGGAACUCAUGCUGCAUAAAAUGCCCAAGGUUCAGAAUUGACCUGUUUAAUGUUGUUCCUCUAUAUUUUUAA